UUCCGGUUGAUCCCGCCGGACCUGACUGCUAUCGGAUUGAUACUAAGCCAUGCGAGUCUUUGUAGCAAUACAAGGCAGACGGCUCAGUAACGCGUAGUCAACCUACCCUAUGGACGGGAAUAACCUCGGGAAACUGAGUAUAAUGCCCGAUAGAACAUUAUGCCUGGAAGGGUUUAUGUUCCAAAUGAUUUAUCGCCGUAGGAUGGGACUGCGGCCUAUCAGUUUGUUGGUGAGGUAAUGGCCCACCAAGACUAUUACAGGUACGGGCUCUGAGAGGAGUAGCCCGGAGAUGGGUACUGAGACACGGACCCAGGCCCUAUGGGGCGCAGCAGGCGAGAAAACUUUGCAAUGUGCGAAAGCACGACAAGGUUAAUCCGAGUGGUUUCUGCUAAAGGAACCUUUUGUCAGUCGUAAAACCACUAACGAAUAAGGGGUGGGCAAGUUCUGGUGUCAGCCGCCGCGGUAAAACCAGCACCUCAAGUGGUCAGGAUGAUUAUUGGGCCUAAAGCAUCCGUAGCCUGCUCUGUAAGUUUUCGGUUAAAUCUGUAUGCUCAACAUACAGGCUGCCGGGAAUACUGCAGAGCUAGGGAGUGGGAGAGGUAGACGGUACUCGGGAGGAAGUGGUAAAAUGCUUUGAUCUCUCGAUGACCACCUGUGGCGAAGGCGGUCUACCAGAACACGUCCGACGGUGAGGGAUGAAAGCUGGGGGAGCAAACCGGAUUAGAUACCCGGGUAGUCCCAGCUGUAAACUAUGCAAACUCAGUGAUGCAUUGGCUUGUGGCCAAUGCAGUGUUGCAGGGAAGCCGCUAAGUUUGCCGCCUGGGAAGUACGUACGCAAGUAUGAAACUUAAAGGAAUUGGCGGGGGAGCACCACAAGGGGUGAAGCCUGCGGUUCAAUUGGAAUCAACGCCGGA
Molecule: ribosomal RNA, 914 nt
Filed under: uncultured archaeon
Lineage: Archaea
Description: bacterial SSU rRNA
Rfam family: Archaeal small subunit ribosomal RNA
Source: RNAcentral